UACGUAGGGUGCGAGCGUUAAUCGGAAUUACUGGGCGUAAAGCGUGCGCAGGCGGUGAGGUAAGACCGAUGUGAAAUCCCCGGGCUUAACCUGGGAACUGCAUUGGUGACUGCAUUGCUCGAGUAUGGCAGAGGGGGGUGGAAUUCCACGUGUAGCAGUGAAAUGCGUAGAGAUGUGGAGGAACACCGAUGGCGAAGGCAGCCCCCUGGGCCAAUACUGACGCUCAUGCACGAAAGCGUGGGGAGCAAACAGG
RNAcentral lists this ribosomal RNA (253 nucleotides) under uncultured bacterium. RNAcentral describes it as "partial 16S ribosomal RNA". It matches the Rfam family "Bacterial small subunit ribosomal RNA", at positions 524 to 776 of the family's 1533-position model. The record is from RNAcentral.